RNAcentral lists this ribosomal RNA (468 nucleotides) under uncultured bacterium. Its description in RNAcentral is "partial 16S ribosomal RNA". It matches the Rfam family "Bacterial small subunit ribosomal RNA", at positions 28 to 507 of the family's 1533-position model. The record is from RNAcentral.
GACGAACGCUGGCGGCGUGCUUAACACAUGCAAGUCGAACGGACAGGCCCUGCUUUUGUUGGUUUCUCGUUUGGCGAACGGGUGAGUAACACGUGUGUAUCCUGCCCUUGACUUUCGGAUAACUUCACGAAACUCGGGCUAUUACCGGAUAUGAUCUCCUGCUGCAUGGUGGGGGUUGGAAAGUUUCGGCGGUUGGGGAUGGACUCGCGGCUUAUCAGCUUGUUGGUGUGGUAGUUGCUUACCAAGGCUUUGACGGGUAGCCGGCAUGAGAGCGUGACCGGGGACAAUGGGACUGAGAUACGGCCCAGAAUCCUACGGGAGGCAGCAGGGGGGAAUAUGGCAGAAUGGGCGGAAGCCUGAGGCAGCAACGUUGGGUGCGGGAUGACGGCUUUCGGGUGAAAAACAGCUUUCGCCUGUGACGAAGAGUGAGUGACGGUAAUGGGUAAAGAAGCACCGGCUAACUACGUG